RNAcentral lists this ribosomal RNA (497 nucleotides) under uncultured bacterium. RNAcentral describes it as "partial 16S ribosomal RNA". It matches the Rfam family "Bacterial small subunit ribosomal RNA", at positions 28 to 507 of the family's 1533-position model. The record is from RNAcentral.
GAUGAACGCUGGCGGCGUGCCUAAUACAUGCAAGUCGAGCGAACAGACGAGGAGCUUGCUCCUCUGACGUUAGCGGCGGACGGGUGAGUAACACGUGGAUAACCUACCUAUAAGACUGGGAUAACUUCGGGAAACCGGAGCUAAUACCAGAUAAUAUAUUGAACCGCAUGGUUCAAUAGUGAAAGACGGUUUUGCUGUCACUUAUAGAUGGAUCCGCGCCGCAUUAGCUAGUUGGUAAGGUAACGGCUUACCAAGGCAACGAUGCGUAGCCGACCAGAGAGGGUGAUCGGCCACACUGGAACUGAGACACGGUCCAGACUCCUACGGGAGGCAGCAGUAGGGAAUCUUCCGCAAAGGGCGAAAGCUUGACGGAGCAACGCCGCGUGAGUGAUGAAGGUCUUCGGAUCGUAAAACUCUGUUAUUAGGGAAGAACAAAUGUGUAAGUAACUAUGCACGUCUUGACGGUACCUAAUCAGAAAGCCACGGCUAACUACGUG